This 1935-nucleotide long non-coding RNA is filed under the name Gallus gallus (chicken). RNAcentral describes it as "lncRNA (ENSGALG00010001084.1)". Lineage: Eukaryota; Metazoa; Chordata; Aves; Galliformes; Phasianidae. The record is from RNAcentral.
UUGCUUUCUACAGGUUGAAGAAGUUUACCUUUAUAAGAAGCAGAAAGUUGACAGAUAUAGUAGAUAAUUCUGUUAUGCCUGCUUGGAAAUGAUUAAUGCUAAACUUCUGAACAGGUCUGCCUUGAAAAGGAAAUGUCACCUGUUCAAACGCAGCUUUGUAUGUUCUCCUGCAGUAAUGUAUUCAGGCUUAUCAACAUGCUGAUCUGCUGGUAGUUUCAGGGAGUAAAUGUUAGUUUCAGCAAAUGAAGCCCAAUCCUGCAGGUGCGUGUUCAGGCAAAGCUGCCAUUAGUUUUAAUGAGAGUUUGUCUUCUUCAAAAGUACAGGAUGAAGCCAGCAAGUGGGUAAAUGAAAUGUGUGAGCAUAAGGAAAUUGUAUAUAGAAGUUCUGCUCCAAAAGGAACACCUCCUAUUUUAUGAUGUUGGCCCACGACGUCAGAGAAAGAUGUUGGUGGUAUUGGCAGUAGAGGCUGAACCUUCCCACCAAUGUUGCAUUACAUUUUGUUGCUGUGUGACGGAUGGCAGCAGUGGGGCAGUCUGACAAAUGGCGUCUGACAUGGAAGUGUGUAUGGAGCAAAGGUGUGAAACUGAACUUCUCCAUGCAGAAAAAAAUGGAACUCACUGACAUUCAUCGACACUUGCUGAACAUUUAUGGAGACCACACAGUGGAUGCAAGCACAGUGAGGUGGUGGAUGGUGCAUUUCAGCAGUGGCAACGUGAGAUGCCUUCUGCCUUCUUCCCACUCAUGUGGCUGCAGGCCCUCUGGAACAGAGCUCCAGACCAGAUGCAGCCUAUGGGCCACAGAUUCCCACCCUGACCAAAAAGGGAAGCUUUCUCCUGGAAGGAUGAUGGCAGAGGAGAAAAUGCAGCAGCCCUGGGCAACGAGCAAGGUCUGCAGUCUGGCAGUGCAGCUCAGCAGAUCUCUGAGAUGUGAAGUCAUCUAAGUGGAGCCACCCUACGCGUGUCAAACGAACUGACAGAUUGCAAGUGUGCUUCCUCACAUUUUGGUUUCACUGAGUCAGCAAGCCUUGCAUGGGGUGGUUCCUCUGUUCACUGAGAUUUUACCAGUCUUCCAAUUAAAUUCCCUUUCCACCAAUAUGAACUUGACAUUCUUUGGAAGAGGUCACAUGCCGGUUCGCACACCUGCAGGGAUUACAGUAGAGCUGCUCAUUAUUCCAGCCCUCUUGUCUGGGUAGACAUACUUACACCAAGGAUGUACCUCCUGUGGUUAUUUUCUCUCUGAGGUGAGGGAGGUAAAAUUGUUUGCCUAGUAUAUACCAAUCAUUUCCCUCAUGGUAAUGGGCAAAUACCUGCUUGCUGCUGGCUUUCCUUCAUGGAACUUGCAAUGCUGCUCAAUUUUUCCAUUUAUUUACUCAGCCUGUAGGGCACUGUAUUCCGGUUUCAUUCUUUAGGUUUCUUUGAAGCCAAUGAAGCAGGACUGGCUCUUGAAAGUGCAGAAGUUGGGAUUCAAUCCAUAUUUAUAUGCCAUUGCUGUAAAUGUGGAGACUGUAUUAAAGGGCUGAUCAGGCACGAAAAAAGACUUUAACUAAUUUAAGUCAGCAGGAAACCUUUUGUUUUUUACUUUAUAGAUUUUUCUGCAGUUGCUCAUCCUGAAAAUUUGGCAAUAGGUUUCUGAUAAUUCAAAGUCAAAUCUUGUACCAUAGUCAUGAGUAGAAGGAAAUAAAUGAUUUGAAUAUUAUCAGUUAUGCUUGAAAAAUGAGUGGUUCUUCCACUACUUCCAAACCAAAAGAAUACUUCCCAUUAAUCAAGUUGGAAGACUGUGUCUCAUGCUUCAUUCUAGUUUAUGUAUUCGGUCCUCUUUUCCUUGAUCCUACCUGUAGAGCCAUGUGUUUUCUAUAUUUCCUCUGUUCCAUUUACACUGCAAAUGAUUAUAAUUUCUGUUACACAAAAAAACCUGAGCUGCCACAACCACUACCUA